UACGUAGGCAGCGAGCGUUGUUCGGAGUUACUGGGCGUAAAGCGUGCGUAGGCGGUGUCUUAAGUUUGUUGUGAAAUCUCCCGGCUUAACCGGGAGGGUGCGGCGAAUACUGAGAUGCUGGAGUGCCGGAGAGGUAAGCGGAAUUCCUGGUGUAGCGGUGAAAUGCGCAGAUAUCAGGAGGAACACCAAUGGCGAAGGCAGCACUCUGGGACGUGACUGACGCUGAGACGCGAAAGCGUGGGGAGCGAACAGG
This 253-nucleotide ribosomal RNA is filed under the name uncultured bacterium. RNAcentral describes it as "partial 16S ribosomal RNA". It matches the Rfam family "Bacterial small subunit ribosomal RNA", at positions 524 to 776 of the family's 1533-position model. The record is from RNAcentral.